GCUGAGUAGAGCGGCGGACGGGUGAGUAACGCGUAGGAAUCUACCUGGUAGUGGGGGAUAACUUGGGGAAACUCAAGCUAAUACCGCAUACGCCCUACGGGGGAAAGCAGGGGAUCUUCGGACCUUGCGCUAUCAGAUGAGCCUGCGUCGGAUUAGCUAGUUGGUAGGGUAAAGGCCUACCAAGGCGACGAUCCGUAGCUGGUCUGAGAGGAUGAUCAGCCACACUGGAACUGAGACACGGUCCAGACUCC
RNAcentral lists this ribosomal RNA (251 nucleotides) under uncultured bacterium. Its description in RNAcentral is "partial 16S ribosomal RNA". It matches the Rfam family "Bacterial small subunit ribosomal RNA", at positions 85 to 339 of the family's 1533-position model. The record is from RNAcentral.